GACGAACGCUGGCGGCGUGCUUAACACAUGCAAGUCGAACGGAAAGGCCCUGCUUUUGUGGGGUGCUCGAUUGGCGAACGGGUGAGUAACACGUGAGUAACCUGCCCCUGACUUUGUGAGAACUUCAGGAAACUGGGGCUAAUACCGGAUAUGAUCUCCUGCUGCAUGGGGGUGGUUGGAAAGUGUCGGCGGUUGUGUAUGUACUCGCGGCUUAUCAGCUUGUUGGUCGGGUAGUGGCUUACCAAGGCUUAGACGGGUAGCCGGCAUGAGAGCGGGACCGGGCUCAAUGGUCCUGCGAUAAGGAGCAGUAGCGUAGGGGCGGCAACAGUGGGAAAUAUUGCACAAUGAGCGCAAGCCUGAUACAACGACGCCGCGUGCGGGAAGACGGGCUACGGGUUAUAAACAGCUUUCGACUGAAACGAAGCGUGAGUGACGGUACUGAGUCAAGAAGCAACGGCUAACUGCGUG
RNAcentral lists this ribosomal RNA (468 nucleotides) under uncultured bacterium. RNAcentral's name for it is "partial 16S ribosomal RNA". It matches the Rfam family "Bacterial small subunit ribosomal RNA", at positions 28 to 507 of the family's 1533-position model. The record is from RNAcentral.